RNAcentral lists this ribosomal RNA (1369 nucleotides) under uncultured bacterium. RNAcentral describes it as "bacterial SSU rRNA". It matches the Rfam family "Bacterial small subunit ribosomal RNA", at positions 28 to 1381 of the family's 1533-position model. The record is from RNAcentral.
GACGAACGCUGGCGGCGUGCCUAAUACAUGCAAGUAGAACGCUGAAGAGAGGAGCUUGCUCUUCUUGGAUGAGUUGCGAACGGGUGAGUAACGCGUAGGUAACCUGCCUUGUAGCGGGGGAUAACUAUUGGAAACGAUAGCUAAUACCGCAUAACAAUGGAUGACACAUGUCAUUUAUUUGAAAGGGGCAAUUGCUCCACUACAAGAUGGACCUGCGUUGUAUUAGCUAGUAGGUGAGGUAACGGCUCACCUAGGCGACGAUACAUAGCCGACCUGAGAGGGUGAUCGGCCACACUGGGACUGAGACACGGCCCAGACUCCUACGGGAGGCAGCAGUAGGGAAUCUUCGGCAAUGGGGGCAACCCUGACCGAGCAACGCCGCGUGAGUGAAGAAGGUUUUCGGAUCGUAAAGCUCUGUUGUAAGUCAAGAACGAGUGUGAGAGUGGAAAGUUCACACUGUGACGGUAGCUUACCAGAAAGGGACGGCUAACUACGUGCCAGCAGCCGCGGUAAUACGUAGGUCCCGAGCGUUGUCCGGAUUUAUUGGGCGUAAAGCGAGCGCAGGCGGUUUGAUAAGUCUGAAGUUAAAGGCUGUGGCUCAACCAUAGUUCGCUUUGGAAACUGUCAAACUUGAGUGCAGAAGGGGAGAGUGGAAUUCCAUGUGUAGCGGUGAAAUGCGUAGAUAUAUGGAGGAACACCGGUGGCGAAAGCGGCUCUCUGGUCUGUAACUGACGCUGAGGCUCGAAAGCGUGGGGAGCGAACAGGAUUAGAUACCCUGGUAGUCCACGCCGUAAACGAUGAGUGCUAGGUGUUGGAUCCUUUCCGGGAUUCAGUGCCGCAGCUAACGCAUUAAGCACUCCGCCUGGGGAGUACGACCGCAAGGUUGAAACUCAAAGGAAUUGACGGGGGCCCGCACAAGCGGUGGAGCAUGUGGUUUAAUUCGAAGCAACGCGAAGAACCUUACCAGGUCUUGACAUCCCGAUGCUAUUUCUAGAGAUAGAAAGUUACUUCGGUACAUCGGUGACAGGUGGUGCAUGGUUGUCGUCAGCUCGUGUCGUGAGAUGUUGGGUUAAGUCCCGCAACGAGCGCAACCCCUAUUGUUAGUUGCCAUCAUUCAGUUGGGCACUCUAGCGAGACUGCCGGUAAUAAACCGGAGGAAGGUGGGGAUGACGUCAAAUCAUCAUGCCCCUUAUGACCUGGGCUACACACGUGCUACAAUGGUUGGUACAACGAGUUGCGAGUCGGUGACGGCAAGCUAAUCUCUUAAAGCCAAUCUCAGUUCGGAUUGUAGGCUGCAACUCGCCUACAUGAAGUCGGAAUCGCUAGUAAUCGCGGAUCAGCGCGCCGCGGUGAAUACGUUCCCGGGCCU